UGGCUCAAUGGUUAAGAGCACUGACUGCUCUUCCAGAGGACCUGGGUUCAAUUCCCAG
Molecule: transfer RNA, 58 nt
Organism: Neotoma lepida (desert woodrat)
Lineage: Eukaryota; Metazoa; Chordata; Mammalia; Rodentia; Cricetidae
Rfam family: tRNA
About the family: Transfer RNA (tRNA) molecules are approximately 80 nucleotides in length. Their secondary structure includes four short double-helical elements and three loops (D, anti-codon, and T loops).
Source: Rfam